This is an RNA transcript of Triplophysa rosa, 2640 nucleotides long. It is a transcript of the gene named 4-galactosyl-N-acetylglucosaminide 3-alpha-L-fucosyltransferase 9-like, with no coding region annotated. Lineage: Eukaryota; Metazoa; Chordata; Actinopteri; Cypriniformes; Nemacheilidae. The record is from RefSeq and is a predicted model, not a curated record. The transcript has 7 exons.
AACUACACAGAUCCUGUCAGCACACGAGAAUGCAGGUGUUUGUCUGAAGAGAGAUGAAUGUGUUUUUCUUGUAAAUGAGGUACAGAACCAAAUUUAAUGUGUACGGGUGGAAGAUAGCUAGAUGUCAGCGGUUAUUUCCUGGUGUGGAACACAACAAACAUUUAUUCUAAGAAGCUUAGAAAACAGAAUGUCAAGCACAAGUUUAACUGGAAUUCCUGUGGGCCGUCUGACUGGUUUAGUGGCUAUUGCCGCUCUCGUCUCUCUGAUCCUCUUGUAUUUCUGGACUUCACCUCUGACCAGCUGUCCACCUCGACUACCUCAAUUCAAACAACACUCAGAUGGACACCAUGAAGAGAUGAACAACUCGAUUGCUGAUGAAACAGUGGAGAAACCUGUACUUUUAUUAUGGGUCUGGCCUAAAAAUUACAGAUUUGAUCUUAAGGACUGUAAAACUCUUUACAAUAUUGACGGCUGUCACCUGACGGACGAUAGAGCUCUCUACAGCAGUUCAGACGCUGUGCUUGUUUUUCACAGGGCUAUUAGCCAGGACCUGUCCACCCUUCCACCAUCUCCUCGUCCCCCGUUCCAAAAGUGGAUCUGGCUUAAUGUAGAAUCGCCAACAAACACGCAGAAAAUUCCAGGGAUAGAAAACCUCUUUAAUCUGACUCUCAGUUAUAGAGAGGACGCUGACAUUCCUGUGCGGCUGAGACUGACCAGCAACAAAACUCCAAAUGAGAAUUUUACAAUUCCCAAAAAGGACAAACUGGUCUGUUGGAUCGUAAGUAACAAUUUCGACUGGACGGGUGUUGGCACGAGAAACGCUUACUACAAUGAACUUAAAAAGCACGUCAAUAUACACAUGUUUGGAAGCGCUUAUGCUAAAAGACUAUCUUAUGAAGACUAUUAUCCCACCAUAGCCAGCUGCAAAUUUUAUCUGUCUUUUGAGAAUUCCAUCCACAAGGACUACAUCACGGAAAAGUUUAACGGACCUCUGUCAGCAGGUACUGUACCUGUGGUGCUGGGACCUCCCAGAAAGAACUAUGAGAGGUUUGCACCGCGUGACGCCUUCAUUCACGUGGACGACUUCCCAGACGCAAAGUCACUGGCAGAAUAUCUGACGCAGCUGGACAGAGAUGAAGAUGCGUAUCGCAGAUGGAUAUACAAACUUCUUUUAAAAAGAGACAGCCAGGUUCAGCACAAAGAGAGAUAGAGCAGGAUGAAGUCAGGAGGAGUACGAAAGGAAAUGAAAGCAAGAAUCAGAAGCAGAAGUGAAUGUCUGUGUUUAAGGAGUGGGAAAAGAGAAGAGAGAGAGGAGUCAAAGAGAAAGUGAGGGACAUGAGAUGAAAAUGUAUUGAGAAGAACAGAGGAAGAAAGGAGAACAGGGGUGCCUGGAGGGAAUUUGAGGACAUUUUCACAGAUGGUAGAUGGAGAAUGGGAGAAGAUUGAUUUGAACAGAGGUGAAAUAACGUGCUGUAUUAGGUAAUAAUAUAUACCCAUGUGCUGUUCCCUAACAAAAUAUGGUUCUAUUGUUUUGUUAUGUUAAAGAAUAAAAGGAAAAAUAAAAGAGUAUAAUUAGAGUAUUAGAGGCCACAUUUACUUGGCAUUGUUGAUGAGCUUUGAUUUGAAUGACUUGUUACUUCAUGGAUUCAGUGGUAGCAGCUUUGUCUGCUAAUUUUUUUUCUAAGCAACAAAAUAGGUUUUAAAUUAGUAAUGUUUAUUCCAAAUUCCUAAUCUACCUUUCUUGUGUAACUUCAUGGUAACAGGUUUACAGCAUUUUUUCUGUUUUUAUUUGAGAGAAGUGAAAAUGUCUUUGUAACAUAUCAAAUUUUGACAGUUUCAGAAUGAUAAAAAAGAGAACACUUCGAUUAAAGAUUAAAAAAUAGUUUAUUAUAGCUGCCAUAAAUGUGAAAAAAUCUCCUGGGGACCAUGCCCUGGAUGGAACCCCUAGAUUUUGGGCUAAGCCCCCAAUAUCCACAAUGUCUGGCUCCGCCCCUGGUUCUGCCUCUUCUUGUCAUGUCUUUCUUGGUUUUGUGGCAGAACCAUGGCAGAGCCUCUUGUUCUGUGUGGAGAGAAGCAUAUUAUUGUCUGUCACGACAUAAUAUGCGUUCUCUCCGGUGUCUGUCUCUAAGCCCCGCCCUCUCGUUCCCUUGUUAGCGUCCCCUUAGUGUUUGAUCCCUGUCACCUGCCCGUCACCUCCCUGUGUAAUCAUCCCUCGUUAGUGUUCCCCUAUUUAGAGCCUCUGUUCUUUCUGUCCUGUGUCGGUUUGUUCGUGGCAAGUCCCUGUCCAGAAAAUCUUGUUCCUGCCUUGCCCUGGUGUCCCUUAGUGUGAGGUUUGUUUGUUUAUUGCUUUAGUUCUUGUUUUGCCCCCAGAGGGAAGUUUUUGUUUGUCUUUUUGAGAAGUCUUUUUGUUAUAGUAUUUGUUCCCCCAUUGUGGUUUUUUGUUUCUUUAUUUUAAUAAAUAUCUGUUAACCCCUUAACUGCUGCCUGCAUCUGGGUUCUUCCCUACCAAACCAUGAUGGCAUAAUUAGAAUGUUUUUUUACCAAAAUACCUCAAAUCAAAAAUUCAUCCUAAAAUCAAAACUGUUAAAUUUGCUGACCGAGAGCUCAGACCGAUAUGAAACGUGUGCUAACGCUAACUUC